RNAcentral lists this non-coding RNA (18 nucleotides) under Arabidopsis thaliana (thale cress). The record is from RNAcentral. Lineage: Eukaryota; Viridiplantae; Streptophyta; Magnoliopsida; Brassicales; Brassicaceae.
AGUGAAAACCUAUGUAAC